RNAcentral lists this ribosomal RNA (386 nucleotides) under uncultured bacterium. RNAcentral describes it as "bacterial SSU rRNA". It matches the Rfam family "Bacterial small subunit ribosomal RNA", at positions 30 to 430 of the family's 1533-position model. The record is from RNAcentral.
AUUGAACGCUGGCGGCAGGCUUAACACAUGCAAGUCGAGCGGAGACUUCGGUCUUAGCGGCGAACGGGUGAGUAAUACCUAGGAAUCUGCCUAUUAGUGGGGGAUAACGAAUCGAAAGGUUCGCUAAUACCGCAUACGUCCUACGGGAGAAAGGGGGGGAUCUUCGGACCUCUCGCUAAUAGAUGAGCCUAGGCCGGAUUAGCUAGUUGGUAGGGUAAAGGCCUACCAAGGCGACGAUCUGUAGCUGGUCUGAGAGGAUGGCCAGUCACACUGGAACUGAGACACGGUCCAGACUCCUACGGGAGGCAGCAGUGGGGAAUAUUGGACAAUGGGGGCAACCCUGAUCCAGCCAUGCCGCGUGUGUGAAGAAGGCCUCGGUUGUAAGU